CUUACAAGCAAGGGGUCGCAGGUUCGAACCCUGCAUCCUCCACCAUUUUCAUUUAAGUUAGCCGGCCUAGCUCAAC
RNAcentral lists this transfer RNA (76 nucleotides) under Halobacillus sp. BAB-2008. RNAcentral's name for it is "tRNA-Thr". Lineage: Bacteria; Bacillati; Bacillota; Bacilli; Caryophanales; Bacillaceae. The record is from RNAcentral.